CCUCUGCGCUCUCCCUUCUGUCCUCUCCCCUCUGCCUUCUCCCUCUCCCCUCUCCCCUGUCGCCUCUGCCCUGCUCCCUUCUCUGUCCUGGGCUUCUGCCCCCCUCACCGCUCUCUGCAUCCACUCCAGCUUUUCCCCCCUUCACUUUCUCCAAACAGUGAUUUUUUGAAACUAAUAUCAACAAGAUCAGGACAACUGCAAUCACUUUACCCGACUUGUCAGUUUCCUAUUUAGAAAAUUCAGACUAUGGAGUGGAAUUGGCUCCUCAUGGGACCCAUGUUACGGUGCAGGUGACUGAGGACAGCUGUUGCGAGCGCUGCUUCUUGGUUCCCCCGGAAUGGGAGGCAUCACGUGCGGCUUCCAGGAGGCCACCUCAGGGAGGAUCGUGUUUCCAUGCACAGCGAAGGAUCUGGGCAGUGUGCUGGACCUUCUCUUGCGUGGUUAGUUGUAAAACUUGAUGCUUCUGCAGGCAGAUGAUGGCAGAAAGCUCCCACCCCACCACGCUGAUGACGGCAGAAAGCUCCCGCCCCACCACGCUGAUGACGGCAGAAAGCUCCCGCCCCACCACGCUGAUGAUGGCACUCUCGUUGGGUGGUUGUGUGGUCUUCAUACAAUUUCAGGGUAAAUCGCCACUUGAUGUCAUUGCUAAAUGGGAUACCUGAGCUAUGAUGAUUUUGCCUGAUUGUUAAAGUUAGUAUUUUAAGACCAAAGAUGGACAAAAUACGUUAAAAUUGUCUGUAAAAAGGCACAUUUCUGAAUUUGCUUUUAAUACUUUAAAAGAUAUAAAGCUGUUGUAUUAUAACAGGAAGGAUUGCUACAAGAACAGAUCUGUCAGAAAACAAAACCGCAUCUUGAAUUGAAAUGGAAAAUGAAAUUUAGCUACACUUCGUA
Long non-coding RNA from Homo sapiens (human), 891 nucleotides. Ensembl annotates it as long intergenic non-protein coding RNA 1865. NCBI's taxonomy places the organism in Eukaryota, Metazoa, Chordata, Mammalia, Primates, Hominidae. The record is from Ensembl.